This 1400-nucleotide ribosomal RNA is filed under the name Occidozyga laevis. RNAcentral describes it as "partial 16S large subunit ribosomal RNA". It matches the Rfam family "Bacterial large subunit ribosomal RNA", at positions 366 to 2595 of the family's 2925-position model. Lineage: Eukaryota; Metazoa; Chordata; Amphibia; Anura; Dicroglossidae. The record is from RNAcentral.
GCUAAACAUUUAGCCUAAACCACCAUAAGACCCCCUGACCCAAUUAAUAACAAAUAAAACAUUUUCUUAUUAUAGUAGAGGUGAUCAAAAAAAUCCUAAGAGCUUUAGAUUAAGUACCGCAAGGGAAACAUGAAAUAGUAAUGAAAUAACCUCAAGCACUAAAUAGUAGAGAUUAAUACUCGUACCUUUUGCAUCAUGGUCUAGCAAGUCCUUGUCAAGCCAAGAGAAACUUUAGUUUGACCCCCCGAAACUAGACGAGCUACUUCAAAACAGCCUUUAGGGCCAACCCGUCUCUGUUGCAAAAGAGUGGGAUGAUUUUCAAGUAGAGGUGACAAGCCAAUCGAGCCUAGAGAUAGCUGGUUAUUCAAGAAAAGAAUUUUAGUUCUGCCUUAAGCCUUUUACUGGAUAUGAACAGACCCUUAGGCUUAAGAGUUAUUCAAAUAAGGCACAGCUUAUUUGAAAAAGGCAACAACCUAAACUCUAGGGUAAGUUUUUGUAACUAAAUAAAGUAGGCCCAAAAGCAGCCACCUUUUAGAAAGCGUUAAAGCUCAGUUUAUUAAAUUAAAAAAUUCUAACUUCCUUCACAAACCCAUUAUCAGUAUUGAAUGACUUCAUAAAUUAUGAAAACCACCAUGCUAGAACUAGUAACAAGAAAAUGAAUUUCUCCAAAUUGUGAGCAAAAACCAGAAUGGACCACCCACUGGCAUUUAACGACCCUGAGCUCAUUAUAAUAACACUACCAAGAAAACCUUAUAAAUUACAUCGUUAACCUUACACAAGCACACUUCCGGAAAGAUUAAAAGGAAAAGAAGGAACUCGGCAAAUUUUAGCCCCGCCUGUUUACCAAAAACAUCGCCUCUUGCGAAACAUAAGAGGUCCAGCCUGCCCAGUGACCCCGUUCAACGGCCGCGUGACCCUAAGCGCGCGAAGGUAGCAUAAUAAUUUGUUCUUUAAAUAGGGACUAGUAUCAAUGGCACCACGAGGGCUAUACUGUCUCCUUUUCCCAAUCAGUGAAACUAAUCUCCUUGUGAAAAAGCAAGGAUAAAACCAUAAGACGAGAAGACCCCAUGGAGCUUUAAACACAGCAACAACCUUGCAAAGAAUAACCAAGAAGCUUCAAAGUAUGUUCGCUAGUUUUAGGUUGGGGUGACCACGGAGUAAAAUAAAGCCUCCGCAACAAAGGAAACUAGAUCCUUAUCCAAGAGGGACACCUCUAAGAAUUAAUAACCUAAUGUCUAAUGACCCGAUUAUCGAUCAAUGAACCAAGUUACCCUGGGGAUAACAGCGCAAUCCAUUUCAAGAGCUCAUAUCGACAAAUGGGCUUACGACCUCGAUGUUGGAUCAGGAUAUCCUGGUGGUGCAGCCGCUACCAAAGGUUUGUUUGUUCAACAAUUAAAAUC